This 651-nucleotide ribosomal RNA is filed under the name Gelidium australe. Its description in RNAcentral is "SSU rRNA". It matches the Rfam family "Eukaryotic small subunit ribosomal RNA", at positions 568 to 1209 of the family's 1831-position model. The record is from RNAcentral. Lineage: Eukaryota; Rhodophyta; Florideophyceae; Gelidiales; Gelidiaceae.
CAGCAGCCGCGGUAAUUCUCAGCAGCCCGCGGUAAUUCCAGCUCUGUAAGCGUAUACCAAAGUUGUUGCAGUUAAAACGCUCGUAGUCGGAAUUUGGUAGGUGACGCAGGGUGUCUUUGCGGACAGAUCUGUAUCAACUGCCUUUGUGGAGGGGGGCUUAGUGGAGCUUUAUUGCCUCACUAAGUCGCUGCCACCGUUUACUGUGAAAAAAUUGGAGUGUUCAAAGCAGGCGUUUGCCUUGUACACAUUAGCAUGGAAUAAUAGAAUAGGACCUGGUUCUGUUUUGUUGGUUUGUGAGAAUUAGGUAAUGAUUAAGAGGGACGGUUGGGGGCAUUUGUAUUCUGCCGUCAGAGGUGAAAUUCUUAGAUUGGCGGAAGACAAACAGCUGCGAAAGCGUCUGCCAAGGACGUUUUCAUUGAUCAAGAACGAAAGUAAGGGGAUCGAAGACGAUCAGAUACCGUCGUAGUCUUUACUAUAAACGAUGAGGACUGGGGAUCGGGCAGCGCUGUUUUAUGGCCUGCCCGGCACCCUUCGGGAAACCAAAGUGUUUGCUUUCUGGGGGGAGUAUGGUCGCAAGGCUGAAACUUAAAGGAAUUGACGGAAGGGCAUCACCGGGUGUGGAGCCUGCGGCUUAAUUUGACCCACCACGGG